Molecule: ribosomal RNA, 404 nt
Filed under: Actinomycetes bacterium
Lineage: Bacteria; Bacillati; Actinomycetota; Actinomycetes
Description: Actinobacteria bacterium partial 16S ribosomal RNA
Rfam family: Bacterial small subunit ribosomal RNA
Source: RNAcentral
UGGGGAAUAUUGGACAAUGGGCGCAAGCCUGAUCCAGCCAUGCCGCGUGAGUGAUGAAGGCCCUAGGGUUGUAAAGCUCUUUCACCGGUGAAGAUAAUGACGGUAACCGGAGAAGAAGCCCCGGCUAACUCCGUGCCAGCAGCCGCGGUAAUACGAAGGGGGCUAGCGUUGUUCGGAUUUACUGGGCGUAAAGCGCACGUAGGCGGACUAUUAAGUCAGGGGUGAAAUCCCGGGGCUCAACCCCGGAACUGCCUUUGUUACUGGUAGUCUUGAGUUCGAGAGAGGUGAGUGGAAUUCCGAGUGUAGAGGUGAAAUUCGUAGAUAUUCGGAGGAACACCGGUGGCGAAGGCGGCUCACUGGCUCGAUACUGACGCUGAGGUGCGAAAGCGUGGGGAGCAAACAGG